This 262-nucleotide long non-coding RNA is filed under the name Phaseolus vulgaris (common bean). RNAcentral describes it as "long non-coding RNA (PVUL_LNC003961)". The record is from RNAcentral. Lineage: Eukaryota; Viridiplantae; Streptophyta; Magnoliopsida; Fabales; Fabaceae.
GAAAAUAAAAUAAGAUUAAAGUUUAACAUGUGUAAAGUCAAUUUAAAUUACAUACAAACACUUUUGGUACCACAAAACUAAUUUAUUUAUAAAAACAAAUGGAAACAUAUUAUUUUCAUAAGUUGCAGCUAUUACAAAAGCAUUCAAAGUAUAAUCUAAAUCCUAAGAUUAAUAAGGAUGCAAAGUCAUUAAAAUCAAAUCUAGUUAAUUGAUAAAGUGGAAGAAAAAGGAAAAGGAAAUACCAUGUAAAAUCCAGAGUGAA